GGGGAAUAUUGGACAAUGGGGGAAACCCUGAUCCAGCAAUGCCGCGUGAAUGAAGAAGGCCCUAGGGUUGUAAAGUUCUUUCACCUGUGAAGAUAAUGACGGUAGCAGGAGAAGAAGCCCCGGCUAACUCCGUGCCAGCAGCCGCGGUAAGACGGAGGGGGCUAGCGUUGUUCGGAAUGACUGGGCGUAAAGGGCGCGUAGGCGGUAUUUUAAGUGAGGCGUGAAAGCCCUGGGCUUAACCCAGGAGGUGCGUUUCAUACUGAAAGACUUGAGUACGAGAGAGGAAAGUGGAAUUUCUAGUGUAGAGGUGAAAUUCGUAGAUAUUAGAAAGAACACCAGUGGCGAAGGCGGCUUUCUGGCUCGUAACUGACGCUGAGGCGCGAAAGCGUGGGGAGCAAACAGGA
This 404-nucleotide ribosomal RNA is filed under the name uncultured Holosporaceae bacterium. Its description in RNAcentral is "bacterial SSU rRNA". It matches the Rfam family "Bacterial small subunit ribosomal RNA", at positions 356 to 777 of the family's 1533-position model. Lineage: Bacteria; Pseudomonadati; Pseudomonadota; Alphaproteobacteria; Holosporales; Holosporaceae. The record is from RNAcentral.